GUGGUAUAACACUUAGGGUGGGCGACUAACUUACAACAACAUAAUGUGCACCUUUAAAACAUGUGUAAGACGAGUUGUGGUUUAAUUGGUUCCCUGCCGUGCUUUGAGGUUUUUCUUCAGAUUUUAUAGCAUUGUUACUCUAUUCAAAACAUGCCUCCUGUUAUUUAAGCUGUAUUACUGGAAAUUCAGCACACAGCUGGGACAGCAUAAUUUUUCUUUAAAAGUUAGGAAUGUAAGGUGAGCUAGGUGACCAAAGUUUUGCCAAGGCAUGUCCUCAAAAUUUUCCAAAACCAAUUAGUAGUCAUUGACUUUUCAGUACAUCUCACUUAACCGUUUAUACAUCUCACUUUUCUUCCAGAAAAGGUGUUUUUAAACACCCAUUAUUAUUUGAGGGGGUGGGCCUGGGUCCGAAAGGAAUGGGCCCCACAUUUUUGAGUUCACCCCCCCCCCAACCAGAUAGCGUUAGGUACGUCCCUCUUCCUGUUAUCACCCACCGAAUUUUGGUUCUGACUGGGUAGAUAUGUUUAAUGCUUUCCUCAACCAAGCGUGUGAUCAAUUCAAUAAGUUAAUGAUUUCUGGUGACUUCAAUAUGGCACACAUUUCCUGGAAUAACACAUCAAACAGCAUCCCAACUCGAAAUAACAACAUCCUUGACCUUAUUAUUACCAGUGUACCUGAACAUGUUAACAUAACUGAUGUGGAAUCGCUAGACAACGCCGUCGUUUUUACAGACCAUUGUGUACUCCACUACGAGUUUAAUGCAUUUGUUGAAAUUCCAAAAACAAGAGUCAAAGAUUUGUUUACAACUACAAAAAAGCAACUUUGAAAGCACUAUCCAUUACGCAUAGUACGUGCACGGACUACGGAUGUUUCGUUCAUAUCUUCGGUUCAGUAAACGCUAUGUAGAUAAAAAAAAAAUACCACCAAUCGAUUCAGUGUAAAAAU
Paramuricea clavata is the source of this 945-nucleotide non-coding RNA. Lineage: Eukaryota; Metazoa; Cnidaria; Anthozoa; Malacalcyonacea; Plexauridae. The record is from the annotation of a GenBank genome assembly.